RNAcentral lists this long non-coding RNA (1492 nucleotides) under Oncorhynchus mykiss (rainbow trout). RNAcentral's name for it is "lncRNA (ENSOMYG00000053948.1)". The record is from RNAcentral. Lineage: Eukaryota; Metazoa; Chordata; Actinopteri; Salmoniformes; Salmonidae.
CUGGCCUCCCAGAUAUGGCCAUGUCUUCUUUGGUGAAGGAGCAGAUUGAAGGAUUUACACCUCUGGCUGUGUCCCUCAUCCGGGCAGACAAGUUUGCUGUCGUGUUUGACCCAGCCCAGAUCAGCAUGUUUUCCUAUGAACAGGCCAAAGCGGUGACUGAAGCCCAGCGCUUGCUUUUGUCCCCUGUGCAGCUGACAGCUAUGUCUAUGGUGCUGACCGUCUGGGAUGACAAACCUGUUGACUUCCGUGGCAGGUCACCAGGGCUGGCACUGUGCCCUAGUCCUCUCUGUCACCUUCUGGGACUGCUGAUGGUGCUGUUAGUUUCUGCUCUGUAAUGGCCUCCCCUUCUGAUGGAUAAACCCCUCAAUGGGCCAUGAGGACUCUCAUGAGGACUCUCUCCCACACAACUUCCAUGUUAAACAAUAAGUGUAAUAUAUUGGAGUAGCCCUGCAGGCUAUUGUAAUGUAUGAUUUGAUAAUGGGUGGAUAUUUAUUUCUAUCAGCAAAUAAUAUCAAAUUGGUCACACACAUAUUUAACAGAUUGUAUUACGGGUGUAGUGAAAUGCUUGCAUUCACAACAAUACAAACACAUCUAAAAGUAAAAAUAAUGGAAUUAAGAAAUAUAUAAAUAUUAGGAUGAGCAAUGUCAGAGUGGCAUUGACUAAAAUAUAUUAGAAUAGAAUACAGUAUAUACAUAUGAGAUGAGUAAAACAGUAUGUAAACAUUAUGAAGUGACCAGUGAUUCUAUGUAUAUAGGGCAGCAGCCUCUAAGGUGCAGGGUUGAGUAACCGGCUAGUGAUAGCUAAUUAACAGUCAGAUGGCCUUGAGAUAGAAGCUGUUUUUCAGUCUCUCGUCCAAGCUUUGAUUCACCUGUACGGACCUCACCUUCUGAAGAGCCAUCAAUUUGCUAUUGGCCUAUUCUCUGAGUGAAGAAAACAACAUUUCAGCAUUUUAUUGCGCAUUGCUGAGUUGUAGUCGUCAGUUUAGGCUGACAAUUAUUUUGUUAGGUUUAAGGUUGAAUAAAAUCUUAUUUUAUUGCUUAAAUGUCAUUGUUUUAAAUUGAAAGAGAAGAGUAAUCAUGUGGUUCUAUCUCAAAGUGCAGUGAUGUUUUCUAUUAUUUGAGCAUUAUUAUGUUUUUAAAUCCUUGUCUAUCUGUAAAGUAUUUUGGCAACAAUUUACAUGGUGUACUUUAUAAAGGGUGUGUUAAUGGUUUAUAAGUAGCCCAGUAGACUCCUUUCCAAUAUUUCUGUAACACAAAAAUAAUCUAGCCUAUAUAACACUCUCAUUGCAAAUAUUUUUGGGGUAUUUAUUCCAUGUAUUGUAAUUGCUGUGAGUUUUGUUUUGUGUGAAUACUCAGGCAUAAAUAUGUUGCUAAUAAAGAACUUCUACAUUGUAUUCAUUUUAAUUUGAUAUUUUUGUAAUCAAAAUGUUUAACUGAAAAAUAUGUUUAAUAUCGAGCUGUCAGUCAUCUCACAACUUCACCUAAGUUUCCU